This 347-nucleotide ribosomal RNA is filed under the name uncultured bacterium. RNAcentral describes it as "partial 16S ribosomal RNA". It matches the Rfam family "Bacterial small subunit ribosomal RNA", at positions 338 to 682 of the family's 1533-position model. The record is from RNAcentral.
CCUACGGGAGGCAGCAGUGAGGAAUAUUGGUCAAUGGCCGUAAGGCUGAACCAGCCAAGUCGCGUGAAGGAAGAAGGAUCUAUGGUUUGUAACCUUCUUUUAUAGGGGAAUAAAGGUAUCCACGUGUGGAUAUUUGCAUGUACCCUAUGAAUAAGCAUCGGCUAACUCCGUGCCAGCCGCCGCGGUAAUACGGAGGAUGCGAGCUUUAUCCGGAUUUAUUGGGGUUAAGGGGUGCGUAGGUUGUUUUUUGAGUCAGGGGUGAGAGUUUGUGGCUCAACCAUAAAAGUGCCGUGGAAACUGGGAGAAUUGAGUGUGUGUGAGGUAGGCGGAAGGCGUGGUGUAGCGGG